CAGGCCUAACACAUGCAAGUCGAGCGAGAAGCUCAUGACGGAAUCUUCGGAGGACGGAUUGAGUGGAAAGCGGCGGACGGGUGAGUAACGCGUGGGUAACCUGCCCUGUACAGAGGAAUAGCCAUUGGAAACGAUGAUUAAUGCCUCAUAAGGCUACAGUAUCGCAUGAUACAGUAGCCAAAACUCCGGUGGUACAGGAUGGACCCGCGUUAGAUUAGCUAGUUGGUAAGGUAAAGGCUUACCAAGGCGACGAUCUAUAGCCGACCUGAGAGGGUGAUCGGCCACACUGGAACUGAGACACGGUCCAGACUCCUACGGGAGGCAGCAGUGGGGAAUAUUGCACAAUGGGCGAAAGCCUGAUGCAGCAACGCCGCGUGAGCGAAGAAGGUCUUCGGAUCGUAAAGCUCUGUCCUAUGGGAAGAACACAAUGACGGUACCAUAGGAGGAAGCCCCGGCUAACUACGUGCCAGCAGCCGCGGUAAUACGUAGGGGGCAAGCGUUAUCCGGAAUCACUGGGCGUAAAGGGUGCGUAGGCGGUUUCUCAAGCCAGAAGUGAAAGGCAAUGGCUCAACCAUUGUAAGCUUUUGGAACUGAGAGACUUGAGUGCAGGAGAGGAAAGUGGAAUUCCUAGUGUAGAGGUGAAAUUCGUUGAUAUUAGGAGGAACACCAGUGGCGAAGGCGACUUUCUGGACUGUAACUGACGCUGAGGCACGAAAGUGUGGGGAGCGA
RNAcentral lists this ribosomal RNA (729 nucleotides) under uncultured bacterium. Its description in RNAcentral is "bacterial SSU rRNA". It matches the Rfam family "Bacterial small subunit ribosomal RNA", at positions 43 to 771 of the family's 1533-position model. The record is from RNAcentral.